GACGUAGGGCGCGAGCGUUGUCCGGAUUUAUUGGGCGUAAAGAGCUCGUAGGCGGCUUGUCGCGUCGUCCGUGAAAACCCACAGCUCAACUGUGGGCUUGCGGUCGAUACGGGCAGGCUAGAGUUCGGUAGGGGAGUCUGGAAUUCCUGGUGUAGCGGUGAAAUGCGCAGAUAUCAGGAGGAACACCGGUGGCGAAGGCGGGACUCUGGGCCGAUACUGACGCUGAGGAGCGAAAGCGUGGGGAGCAAACAGG
This 253-nucleotide ribosomal RNA is filed under the name uncultured bacterium. RNAcentral describes it as "partial 16S ribosomal RNA". It matches the Rfam family "Bacterial small subunit ribosomal RNA", at positions 524 to 776 of the family's 1533-position model. The record is from RNAcentral.